Suncus etruscus (white-toothed pygmy shrew) is the source of this 105-nucleotide small nuclear RNA. The record is from RefSeq and is a predicted model, not a curated record. Lineage: Eukaryota; Metazoa; Chordata; Mammalia; Eulipotyphla; Soricidae.
GUGCUGGCUUCAGCAGCACAUAUAUUAAAAUUGGAAGGAAAUUGAGAUUAGCAUGGCCACUAUAUAAAGACUGACAUGCAAAUUUAUGAAGCAUUCCAUACUUUU